GAUGAACGCUGGCGGCGUGCCUAAUACAUGCAAGUCGAGCGAACAGACGAGGAGCUUGCUCCUCUGACGUUAGCGGCGGACGGGUGAGUAACACGUGGAUAACCUACCUAUAAGACUGGGAUAACUUCGGGAAACCGGAGCUAAUACCGGAUAAUAUAUUGAACCGCAUGGUUCAAUAGUGAAAGACGGUUUUGCUGUCACUUAUAGAUGGAUCCGCGCCGCAUUAGCUAGUUGGUAAGGUAACGGCUUACCAAGGCAACGAUGCGUAGCCGACCUGAGAGGGUGGUCGGCCACACUGGAACUGAGACACGGUCCAGACUCCUACGGGAGGCAGCAGUAGGGAAUCUUCCGCAAUAGGCGAAAGCCUGACGGAGCAACGCCGCGUGAGUGAUGAAGGUCUUCGGAUCGUAAAACUCUGUUAUUAGGGAAGAACAAAUGUGUAAGUAACUAUGCACGUCUUGACGGUACCUAAUCAGAAAGCCACGGCUAACUACGUG
RNAcentral lists this ribosomal RNA (497 nucleotides) under uncultured bacterium. RNAcentral's name for it is "partial 16S ribosomal RNA". It matches the Rfam family "Bacterial small subunit ribosomal RNA", at positions 28 to 507 of the family's 1533-position model. The record is from RNAcentral.